CCCAUCACCACUGCCAUAUCCUAUGAGAAGCAAGUCACAGGUCCUGCCUGAACUCAAGAGGAAGGGAUUAUAAGACUGUGAACACCCAGAGGAGGACCAUGGAGUUACCCAGAAGUCCGUCAACCGCAAAGGCAAUUAAGGUCUCUACCAGAUCAUAGUGAAUGCCUGAGGCCUGAAAAACAUCAACCGCGCUGCGUCAACCACGAAGACAUUUCACAUCACUAAUAGCAUUUCUCCAUCUGAUUGAGGAAUAAACCAAACAAAAUUACGGCACAAAAGAGAGAUGACACUGGUAACCAAACCAAAUUCCAAAAAAUGAAAACUACCAAGAGAAUGCUGAGGAUGAAGUAUAAAGUAUGAUCCAUGUCAACUGCCACCGUGCAACAUUUUGACGUUUCGGAAAACAGUGCCAAAGGGACUCGGGUGGCUCAGUCAGUUGAGCAUUCGACUUCAGCUCGCAGUUCGUGAUCUCACGGUUCAUGGGUUCGAGCCCCACAUUGGGUUCUGUCCUGACAGCUAAGAGCCUGGAGCCUGCUUCGGAUUGUGUCUCCCUCUCUCUCUGCACACCGCCCCCGCCAUGCCCCCGCUCACACUCUGUCUCUCUCUCGCUCAAAAAUAAACAUAAAA
This is a long non-coding RNA of Acinonyx jubatus (cheetah), 627 nucleotides long. RefSeq lists it as uncharacterized. NCBI's taxonomy places the organism in Eukaryota, Metazoa, Chordata, Mammalia, Carnivora, Felidae. The transcript is spliced from 3 exons. The record is from RefSeq and is a predicted model, not a curated record.